Molecule: ribosomal RNA, 1173 nt
Filed under: metagenome
Description: SSU rRNA
Rfam family: Eukaryotic small subunit ribosomal RNA
Source: RNAcentral
AAUCAAGUGGAGGACAAGUCUGGUGCCAGCACCCGCGGUAAUUCCAGCUCCACUAGCGUAUAUUAAAGUUGUUGCAGUUAAAAAGCUCGUAGUUGAACCUCUGUCUGGGGCUAGUUUUGGCUUUGGUCAGGCUAGUUCUAGCCAUCCGCCUACAAGACUUAGAGGGCAUUCAGUUGUUCACUAGGAGGAGUAGGCAUUUUACUUUGAAAAAAUUAGAGUGUUUAAGGCAGGCAAUCGCCCGCAUAUAUUAGCAUGGAAUAAUAGAAUAGGACUCUUUUCCAUCUCGUUGGUUAUUGGAAUCGUGUAAUGAUUAAUAGGGACAGUUGUGGGCAUUUGUAUUUAAUUGUCAGAGGUGAAAUUCUUGGAUUUAUUAAAGACAAACUAACGCGAAAGCAUUUGCCAAGGAUGUUUUCAUUAAUCAAGAACGAAAGUUAGGGGAUCAAAGACGAUCAGAUACCGUCCUAGUCUUAACUAUAAACUAUUCCACUCAAUGUUUGACUGGCUUAUAUAACCAGUUGAGCGUUGUAUGAGAAAUCAAAGUCUUUAGGUUCUGGGGGGAGUAUGGUUGCAAAGCUGAAACUUAAAGGAAUUGACGGAAGAGCACAACCAGGAGUGGAUUCUGCGGCUUAAUUUGACUCAACACGGGGAAACUUACCAGGUUAAAACAAUAGUGGGAUUGACAGUUUGAGAGCGCUUUCUUGAUUGGUUGGGUGGUGGUGCAUGGCCGUUCUUAGUUGGUGGAGUGAUUUGUCUGCUUAAUUGCGUUAACGAACGAGACCUUAACCUGCUUACUAGACUGGCGAUCAUCAAUCGUUAGCUCUUCUUAGAGGGACUUUGGUUGUUUUAACUCCAAGGAAGUUUGAGGCAAUAACAGGUCUGUGAUGCCCUUAGAUAUCCUGGGCCGCACGCGUCAUACAAUGACUAGUUCAGAAAGUUUUCUCCUGACCCGAAAGGGGAUGGGUAAUCUUGAUAAUACUAGUCGUGUUAGGGAUCGAUCUUUGCAAUUAUAGAUCUUGAACGGGGAAUUCCUAGUAAGUGCGGUUCAUCAGACCGUACUGAUUACGUCCCUGCUCUUUGUACACACCGCCCGUCGCUUCUACCGAGUGGGUGGUCCGGUGAGAUAAUUGAACUUCGCAGGUAACUGAGAGGAAAGAUUAUCAAACCUAUCCACCU